This 822-nucleotide ribosomal RNA is filed under the name uncultured bacterium. RNAcentral's name for it is "bacterial SSU rRNA". It matches the Rfam family "Bacterial small subunit ribosomal RNA", at positions 28 to 864 of the family's 1533-position model. The record is from RNAcentral.
GACGAACGCUGGCGGCGCGCCUAACACAUGCAAGUCGAACGAGCGAGAGAGAGCUUGCUUUCUUGAGCGAGUGGCGAACGGGUGAGUAACGCGUGAGGAACCUGCCUCAAAGAGGGGGACAACAGUUGGAAAUGACUGCUAAUACCGCAUAAGCCCACGGCUCGGCAUCGAGCAGAGGGAAAAGGAGCAAUCCGCUUUGAGAUGGCCUCGCGUCCGAUUAGCUAGUUGGUGAGGUAACGGCCCACCAAGGCGACGAUCGGUAGCCGGACUGAGAGGUUGAACGGCCACAUUGGGACUGAGACACGGCCCAGACUCCUACGGGAGGCAGCAGUGGGGAAUAUUGCACAAUGGGGGAAACCCUGAUGCAGCGACGCCGCGUGGAGGAAGAAGGUCUUCGGAUUGUAAACUCCUGUUGUUGAGGAAGAUAAUGACGGUACUCAACAAGGAAGUGACGGCUAACUACGUGCCAGCAGCCGCGGUAAAACGUAGGUCACAAGCGUUGUCCGGAAUUACUGGGUGUAAAGGGAGCGCAGGCGGGAAGACAAGUUGGAAGUGAAAUCCAUGGGCUCAACCCAUGAACUGCUUUCAAAACUGUUUUUCUUGAGUAGUGCAGAGGUAGGCGGAAUUCCCGGUGUAGCGGUGGAAUGCGUAGAUAUCGGGAGGAACACCAGUGGCGAAGGCGGCCUACUGGGCACCAACUGACGCUGAGGCUCGAAAGUGUGGGUAGCAAACAGGAUUAGAUACCCUGGUAGUCCACACUGUAAACGAUGAUUAAGAGGUGUUGGAGGAUUGACCCCUUCAGUGCCGCAGUAACACAAUAAG